Molecule: ribosomal RNA, 497 nt
Filed under: uncultured bacterium
Lineage: Bacteria
Description: partial 16S ribosomal RNA
Rfam family: Bacterial small subunit ribosomal RNA
Source: RNAcentral
GAUGAACGCUGGCGGCGUGCCUAAUACAUGCGAGUCGAGCGAACGGACGAGAAGCUUGCUUUUCUGAUGUUAGCGGCGGACGGGUGAGUAACACGUGGAUAACCUACCUAUAAGACUGGGAUAACUUCGGGAAACCGGAGCUAAUACCGGAUAAUAUUUUGAACCGCAUGGUUCAAAAGUGAAAGACGGUCUUGCUGUCACUUAUAGAUGGAUCCGCGCUGCAUUAGCUAGUUGGUAAGGUAACGGCUUACCAAGGCAACGAUGCAUAGCCGACCUGAGAGGGUGAUCGGCCACACUGGAACUGAGACACGGUCCAGACUCCUACGGGAGGCAGCAGUAGGGAAUCCUCCGCAAUGGGCGAAAGCCUGACGGAGCAACGCCGCGUGAGUGAUGAAGGUCUUCGGAUCGUAAAACUCUGUUAUUAGGGAAGAACAUAUGUGUAAGUAACUGUGCACAUCUUGACGGUACCUAAUCAGAAAGCCACGGCUAACUACGUG